GUUGGCAAGUUGCUCGGCUUUGACUUCGCGGUGGAGUACAAAUCCGGGGCCGCUAAUGUGGUUGCUGACGCCCUCUCGCGCCGGGAUGCUGAGGAGGACAGCAUGGGCGGGCUCCGCUCUAUCUCUGCUCCACGCUUCGACUUCAUCAACCGACUCCGUCAAGCUCAGGCUGUCGACCCCGCCUUGGUCGCCAUCCACGACGAGAUCCGCGCAGGUUCCAGGACAGCGCCCUGGACGGUCAAGGACGAUAUGGUGCUCUUCGACGGGCGUCUCUACAUACCGCUCGCCUCGCCCCUGCUCCAGGAAAUUGUGGCCGCCGUCCACGAUGAUGGCCACGAGGGCGUGCAGCGCACAUGGCACCGGCUGCAUCGUGACUUUCAUUUUCCCCACAUGCGCCGCAUCGUGCAAGACUUUGUGCGAGCUUGCGCCACGUGUCAACGCUUCAAGUCUGAACAUCUGCUACCGGCCGGACUGCUGCAGCCACUGCCGGUGCCGUCCGCUGUAUGGGCCGACAUCGGGAUGGACUUCAUCGAAGCACUACCACGGGUCGACGGCAAGUCCGUCAUCCUCUCCGUCGUCGACCGCUUCAGCAAGUACGGCCACUUCAUCGCUCUUGGCCACCCGAACACUGCUGAAUCAGUGGCCCAGGCGUUCUUCACCAACAUUGUCCGCCUCCACGUCGUACCGCAGUCCAUCGUCUCCGACAGGGAUCCGGUGUUCACGUCUGCCUUUUGGCGUGAACUCAUGCGGCUGAUGGGCUCCAAGCUGCAUAUGACCUCCGCAUUCCAUCCUCAGUUGGACGACCAGUCCGAAGCAGCAAACCGCGUCAUCGUCAUGUAUCUCCGCUGCUUUACUGGGGACCGACCGCGCCAAUGGCUCCGAUGGCUGCCAUGGGCGGAGUACGUCUACAACACGGCCUACCAAGCUUCGCUCCGGGAGACGCCGUUUCGCGUGGUCUACGGCCGCGAUCCUCCGACGAUACGCUCUUAUGAGCCCGGCGAAACCCGAGUUGCGGCCGUAGCCAGGGACAUGGAGGAACGCGAGGCAUUCCUUGCUGAGGUGCGCCACCGACUGGAGCAGGCCCAGGCAGUGCAGAAGCUGCACUAUGAUCGUCAUCAUCGGCAUGUCUCCUACGCAGAAGGUGAUUGGGUCCUGCUGCGUUUCCGCCAGCGUCCAGUGGCCUCUCUGCCCCACUCCACGGGCAAGCUAAAGGCUCGCUAUCUGGGGCCUUAUCGCAUAAUCCAGAAGAUCAAUGAGGUGGCCGUGCAGCUGGAGCUUCCCCCACAGGCGCGCAUCCACGACGUCUUCCACAUUGGGGUCCUCAAGAAGUUCCACGGACCUCCGCCGUCUACCCCGCCUCCCUUGCCGGACAUCAGACAUGGUACGGUCAGCCCGGUGCCAGACCGUGUCACUCAAGCUCGCAGGGUCCGUGGUGUCCUUCAAGUCCUUGUGUUUUGGCGAGGAGAACCAGCGUCUUCAGCUUCCUGGGAAGACCUCGACGAGUUCCGCGCCUCAUAUCCAGAUUUCCAGCUCGGGGACGAGCUGGCUCUCGAGGGGGCGAGAGAUGUCAUGUGGGGCCAAGCCUAUGCGCGCCGUAGGCGCAACCGUGACAUAAGGAGGGCCGAGGAGCGUGCAGAUCGCGCCCAGCUUGGCGCGCACGCGGGCCUGGCCGCGCCCAGUGGCUAGGAUAGGAAGGAAAGAUUUGUUUAGAUCCUAAAUUAUAGAAAGGAUUAGUUUGGUUUCCUUACGGCCUUCAGCCGAGGGACUAUAUGUACUAGCUUUGGACUUUGGAAUAAAGCAAGCAAUAUCAAUUAUCUAAACUCUCUUCUCCCUAAACCUCUCAAGCCCGAUCGUCCGAGAGGGGCAUAACCUCCGGAUCGGAAGAACGGCAGGAGACUACGAUCUUCGUAGUCGAGGGCCACCUACCCUAGAUUACCAGGCCCUUGACACAUACCAUUUGGUAUAUUGCUUAUUGCAAAUAUUUGCUUGCUUUAUAUCUGGUGUUCUCUUGCUCUUUUCCUUGUUCAUUUACAGAUUGAUCAACUCUCUUUGCUUUUUUUUUUCUUCUGUAGGGUGGAUAUGGAACAAAUCUUGCCCCAGCAAAACUAGUUGGGAAGAUUUUUACCUCGCUUGAUAAAUCUAUAUCCCGCAUGAUGGGUACACCAUCUGCACCACUUCCACCAUUACCACAUGGAUCUGUUAGUGAUAGAGAGAGCCACUCUAUGCCUGCAGCAGCAAAAUUUGGAAAUAGCCAAUCGGUAAUGACCAUGUCAUCGUUAAUGCCAUCUGCUUCAAUGCAGUCAAUGACUGAGAUAGCAGAGAAUAGUGGUGGCACUGGCAGGACAAUUGCACACAACAGAAGUGUUUCUGAGCCGGACUUUGGUAGAACAUCAAAACAGGUACUUGCAAAGAGAAAUUUGAAGACAUUAAUUUCUGGUUAUGUUGAAUUUGAAAGAUCAUUUGGUAUUUCUCCCCUUGUCUCAUUUGAAAAACCUAACAGGGUGCUGGAUCAGAUGGCACACAGAGUAGUGCAUCAGGAUCUGGUAGUUCUCGAUUUGGUUGGCUAGUGCAGAAGACUAUGGAUUUAGUGUCGAAAUCCCACCGCCAGGUAUUUUUUACUAAGUUAUGAAAUGACUAUUUCCAGUUUUUGCCCCCAUCUUGUCUCUUCUAUAUGGAACACCAACCUUAAGAUCCUAUUUCUGUUAUGAAGGCAAAAUUAGGGGAUCAGAACAAAUUUUACUAUGAUGAAAAGUUGAAGCGGUGGGUGGAAGAAGGUGCUGCGGUUCCUGCCGAGGAGCCUCCUCUUCCUCCACCUCCAACAAAACCAUCUUUCCAGAAUGGUAUGCCAGACCAUAAGUUGAAUGGCCCCAUGAGUGUAAACCAUGCUCCCAAUGGAGUCACAGAAUGGAAAUCCUCAAAUUCUUCGGAGCAAGGAGGUCUGGGUAUGCCUCCAAUUCCACCUAGCCAAAACCAGUUUUCUGCUCGUGGACGGAUGGGUGUCCGGUCCAGGUAAUUCGACAGUGGCAUUGUCAUUUAGUACUCUUAAUUAUUAUUUCUAUAUUGCUCUCUAAGGUAUUAUACAGAAAACUGAUGGCUUUUCUGUUUUCAUUUUAGAUAUGUUGACACAUUCAAUAAAUCGGGUGCGUCUGGAGCAGUGCCAUCAUAUAACAAACCAGCUGCUCCAUCUGUGACACCACCAGCUGGUGCCAAGUUCUUCAUGCCGACUGCAGCACCUGCUGCUGCAGAUCAGAUGGUGCCACACCAAGCAGCAGAGAUACACAGUGAAACCAUCCAUCAGGAUGAGCGGUCAGCCUCACCACCAGCAGAAACAUCAUUUUCUUCAACCCCACCACCCACACAAUUUUCAUCACCCCCACCGCACAUGCAAUUUUCAUCACCAAUGCAAUCAACAAUUCAUCGGCAAUCUAGUAUGGACAACAUCUCCACCCCUUACCAGGGUUCUGGGGUAUCAUCAUUAAGCAGCAGCAGCUCAUUCUCAAAAUCACGAGCCGCAUCCUGGAGUGGGACAUACUCUGAGCAGUAUAGUGCUUUUGCGGGCACUCAAUCACCUGAUAGACAGACGAUGCCUUCACCACUCAUGCCUGGCAAACCAUCACACAGUCGUUCCAACAGCAACUCAUCAGUGCAGCUCAAUGGAUUGGCAGAGGAUCUUCAUGAGGUUGAGCUCUAACUGACCACUGCUCAGCAUGACCGAGGUGACUCAUGUCUUGUAUCCACAAAGACAGCCAUGGCAAACCCCUGACGGUUCCAGAAACCCCAAGCGGGUGACAGAAAAGAAGCUGCCCUGACAACGCUGAUCACAGGGAUGCCACAGUUGGAAUUGGCUGGUGCGACUUUGCAUGAGAUUCUGGCAGCGCGCUCUAAACCACCGAGGUGCGUCGGACCUGUACUAAUAGAAAUGCAGGGUUUUUGAACAUUUUGUAGCUAUAUAUAGAUGUUGGUUUUACGUUUUAGAGAGAAGGGAAAGGGUUGGGUGGGCCUUGUUUACAGGUGAGAAGAGGAGAGAAGCAGCAUGCAGAUGCCCUUGUACAGAUAAUCUGCCCCUACCCAAUUUGUUUAAACGCAAAGAAACCCACACCCCCACUCCAUAUUGAUUUUCGUUUUUGGGAGAAGGAUAGAAGAGAAGGUGUGUUCUAGUAGUGUGAGAAGCAUGGCUCUGUAGAGUGUUGUUGUUAUAUCAUUAUAUGGUGUAGUGUCCUAGCCGUAUACACAGUAUAUUAUCACUGUUUAUUCUUUGGAGACGAAUCGAUUCUUUCAUCUUGAAACAAUUAGUGUUGCCUUGCCUUGUUGUAUCAUGGGCGAUGUGAUUGAUGCAAUUGUAUCUGUGGUCGACACAUGUUUUGUCCUGUCGCUGAUGGAGUCCGAGUCGGACGGGCACUCGCCGCUGCCUUUGAUAUAUUACCGGCCUGGGAGUUGCGCACCAACACAAUCGCUAGACCCGGGCUGGAUCAACAUGGCAGCGGAGAAGGACGACAAGGCAGACAGGGAGGAGAUCUUGUUGGAUGUCGACGACAAGGAGGUCUCCUUGGAUCUCGACGACAAGAAGGCUAAGGCUGCGGCUGCGGCUGCGGCGAUGGCAGGGCCAGGGGGUGCCAACAAGAAGACCAAGAUGGUGAUGGUGAGUAAAAGCAUCGUGGACGACCUGCUGGCAAACCCCCCCUGAGCCCCUGGGUGACACCUUGGCUUCUACUGCCGCUGAAUUGGGAUGGGAUACUGCCGUCUUUGCUAAGGUAGAUGCGCUCUUUGACAAGGAGCAUGCCCAAGACAUGAGCAUCAUUAGGCAGUGCCAGAACGGGUAUAAGGUUGUGUAUGAUCACUUGGGUUUUGAGAUGGUGGAGGUGGAGGUUGAUGACGACAGUGACGACGACUAAGGGCAUGGUGGAGGUGGAGGUCGGUGAUGACGAAUAGUGCCAAGACUAGAUAGAUUUCGUCAAAAUAAAAUUCUAGAUAGAUAGAUAGAUGGAUUCUUUUGGAGCCUAGAUAGAUCGCUCUAAUUAUGUUCUGUAUUUUGAUGCUAUUGAUAGCUAGGAAAAUUGAGCAUCAUAUUAUUUACACAAGCUCGACUGAUUUGCACAUAUCUCUGAGUCCUUUUUUUUUUUGUGUAUGUAGUUAUAAAUGCAGCGGUUUUACGGAAGUGUAGAUGAUAACUAAUACGUCAAGUAAACACGGCAGAAGCCAUCUUGACCACGUAGUACAACAGGUCGGAGCGGAGCAAUACAAAAUUGUUAAAUCCUCAAGGGAGGUGAGCCUUGCUCGUUCCCCGGCCUGGAUGGAACUCUAGAGAUGCUUCGACACAAAAAUGUACUACUCCUUGAACCUGGUGCGCCUGAGCUCAUCCACCACGUCGUCGAUGCAUGAGCUCGCUCCUUCUCCUUGACACGAGCAAUGCAAGCAAGGGAGCUUGUUCCCCACCCCACCGACCGCCCUCCCCUGUACACCACUAACCACCGUCUCCAUCCUCCCCACCUCACACUUGGGUUGCAGGUCCGUGGCAUGAUAUGAUAGCAGUGGAAACGGGAAAAUCAGUCAGUUCCGGUUUGCAAUAAAAGCCUUAGACUGUCUCCAACAAUGGUCACCCAAAAUACAAGACCUAUUUGUCCUUUGGGUAGCGCUACAGGUAAAAGGUUCCAUGCCUAUUUUUAGUCUUCUCCAACAACAAGACUUAAACUCUGCAAAUGGGUCUCGAAGAGAGAGAAUAUCCAAAUUUGGGUUAUGCCUCUCCUGAUACCCAAAAUGGGUCUUCUGUAUGGGUACUCUGUUGGAUGCUAUAGGUAUUGUGUUGGAAACCUAUUUUGGCUCUUCUAUCGGAGAUAGCCUUAGAUUUCAACUCCCAUUGGCUAUAGCAUACUACACUACUGACUUGCCGGGGAGGAAAUGAACAAAACUAGAGAAAACAGGAUGCAGUACCGCGUGGUUUUUGUUGGCACUUGGUGGUCUGGUGUGGUCAGAUUCCAAGCAAACCGCCUGCUCAUCAGCUCCAGGUUUUGCCUCGCCAGCUGGGCUGCUACUACAGCAGCCUGCAGCAGUAGUCCAUUGGCUGCUGAUUAGUUGCUGCUUUCCGAUACGAUCCAUCAUACGAACCUUUCAACGCACGUCCAGAUCAAUAUUCUAAUCCAGUGCUGUGCUUCCCUGGUUUUUGACUAGUAUAUAUAGGGAUUUGUAUACUCUAAUUAACCCUUCCUCUUCCACUGCAUGCUCUGAUUGCAAUCACAACUGGGAACCAAAUCAUAAUGCUACUACUAGACUAGAUAGAUUGUAUUUAAAUUCAUGUUUAAAUUAGAAAAAGGUAACAAAACCGUGCACCCGCCUUUGUUUGUUUCCAUCGCUACCUACACCUUUUUUUUAUUGUUGACGAUAAUCUUCUCCACCGGCUUCACUUAUAAAACUAUUUUAGAAAAAAAAAACAGUUCACAACAGCUUAUAAAGUUAUUAUAAACUAUAUUAAAUAGGCCCUUAACUAAAGUUUUAUAUAGUAUUCAUUUUUAAUGGAGGAGUAGAUAAGAUGGAGGUAUAUUAUAUUAAAACCAGCAGCUGUUGGAGGUAAAGUGGUUUUCAGUGAGUGGGGCCGGGGUAGAAAUGGAAUUGAAUAUAAAUAUAGCCCGAUGGACCUUUCACCUCCUACGACUACGAGUAGCCAUUGUCUCCACAUCCACCAAUCUCAUUCUCAUUCAGCAAGCGAGGAAGGAAAUCCUCUCGAUCCAAUUCCCCUAGAUUUGAUUUGAUUUGAACCUACCUUGCCAAUCAGAUCACACACAGCAGCAGCAGAUCACCACAAAUCACAAGAUGAAGAAGGCGUCGUCGCUGUCGGAGCUGGGGUUCGACGCCGGCGACGCGUCGUCAGGCUUCUUCCGCCCCGUGUCCGACUCCUCCUCCUCCGCCGCCGACGGGGUGGUGGUGACCCCGUCGGCGCACCGUCGGAGGCUGACCAAGGUAUCCGUGAUCGGCGCGGGCAACGUGGGGAUGGCCAUCGCGCAGACCAUCCUGACGCGGGACCUCGCCGACGAGAUCGCGCUGGUGGACGCGCUCCCGGACAAGCUGCGCGGGGAGAUGCUGGACCUGCAGCACGCGGCGGCGUUCCUCCCCCGCACGCGCCUGGUCUCCGACACCGACAUGUCCGUCACCAGGGGCUCCGACCUCGCCAUCGUCACCGCCGGCGCGCGGCAGAUCCCGGGGGAGACGAGGCUCAACCUGCUGCAGAGGAACGUCGCGCUGUUCAGGAAGAUCGUGCCGGCGCUGGCGGAGCAGUCCCCCGACGCGCUGCUGCUCGUCGUCUCCAACCCCGUCGACGUGCUCACGUACGUCGCGUGGAAGCUGUCGGGUUUCCCGGCCAGCCGCGUCAUCGGGUCGGGAACCAACCUCGACUCGUCCAGGUUCAGGUUCCUCCUCGCCGAGCACCUCGACGUCAACGCCCAGGACGUGCAGGUGCGUGCGUCGUCUCCAGUCGCCGUCGCUCCCCAGCUUUUUUUGUUCGAUUCCCGCGCCCUGUGCUGUGCUGCCCCCUGUCCUGUCCUCUGAUCGUGAUGGGACAUGACUGGUGGGGUCACGUGACACCUGGGGCCCAUCUCUCCACGGCCACUGGCCAGAGCAUGGCAUCAGUUCCCUUGGGAGGGAGGGAGGGAGCAUGUGAUCCCUCUCCAUGUGGGGCUGGAGCUCUGCUCGCAUUACUUUCAUCUCAUCUCACAGGGAUCUUGUUUAGUUCUAAAAAAUUUUUAUAAAAAAAUUUAGAUUCUCAAUCUUUUGACGCAGGUAUAGAACAUUAGAUAAAAAUAAUAGCUAAUUAUACAGUUUACUUAUAAUUUGCGAGACAAAUAUUUUGAGUCUAUUUGUGACAUACAAACGAACAAUGUUUAUUUUAUAAAAUUUUUUAGAACUAAUUAUACUUCUAAGCAUGAACAACUACAUGAUGAUAUCGAGAAACCUAGGCCUUGUUUAGUUCCAAAUUUUUUUUGCAAAAUCGACACUGUAGCACUUUUGUUUGUAUUUUACAAAUAUUGUCCAAUCAUGAACUAACUAGGACUCAAAAGAUUCGUCUCGUGAUUUACAGCUAAACUGUGUAAUUAGUUUUUGUUUUUGUCUAUAUUUAAUGUUUUAUGCAUGUGCCACGAGAUUCGAUGUGACGGAGAAUCUUGAAAACUUUUUGGUUUUCGGGGUGAACUAAACAAGGCCAUAGUAGACAGACAGUGUAAAGAGAGGACAGAACUGAUACUAGUAUCUUCAUAGUAAAUAUUUUCGAAUACAUAAAUGUUAAUUCUAUUUUUUAUAAACUUAGGACUUAUUUAGCUCAUCCAAAAACAUUUUUUAAAAAGAAAAUUUCUCAUCACGUCACAUCAAAUCUUACGGCAUAUGUAUGAAGUAUUAAAUAUAGUUGAAAAUAAAAACUAAUUACAUAGUUUGCCUAUAAAUCAUGAGAUGAAUCUUUUAAACUUAGUUAGUCUAUAAAAUUUUAAAAAAAAAUCGAAACUAAAUAAGGCUUAAGUAAAUUUUUUAAAAAAGUAAAACUGAGCAGUACGAGUAUAGUACUGGUUGCCCUCUUUCUCUUUCCGGGCGGCGCACAUGGUUGUCUCCUUGUGCCGACCACCUUCUUCAAGUCUGUCAAAAGGUCUCCUUGUGCACCUGCUAAGAAAAUGUCUUUGCACGUUCAACUAGAACCACGACUAAUGCUAGAUUGCUAGUAGUACGUCUAGUACCACAUGCACAUUCCAUGAACCAUGAUGACCGCCACUCCAAAGCUUUUUCAAAGCCACCAGCAGCUUCAACUAGAGCCACGAUGUUUGUUCUAAUAAAGUCUGUAACUCCAGCUUCAUUUCGUCCACUGUAGUACUCAUUAUUCAUUUCAAAGGCGCAUCAUUCUGCUAGCCAUCGAUAGUAUACUCGUACAUGCCAAGAGUAAUUUAGUGGACCAGCGCAUCUGAUUACAGCGGAAGCACCUCUCAAACAGAAUGUGACAUGUAUAGCACUAGCUCUACUUUCGCUAUUUCAGUUUAUCUUAGCUUAAUAACAUGUACAGUCGAGUCAGCACACAACGCCUAGCAGAUUCACCGUCACAAGAUUCACAAGGUUCUUCAUUUGAGCCUUUAAUAUAUAUAUAUAUAGUGCAAUACUAGUUUAAAGUUUAAAUACCUUUUUUCAUGUCAAUUGUUGCAUAAUCUUGACUGCUGAAAUGAGAUUCGCACGUUAUUGAUGGAUCGAUUUGUUUGUAUUGCAGGCGUACAUGGUGGGCGAGCACGGCGACAGCUCGGUGGCGGUGUGGUCGAGCGUGAGCGUCGCAGGAAUGCCGGUGCUCAAAUCUCUUCAGCAGAGCCACAGCAGCUUCGACGAGGAAGCCCUGGAGGGCAUCCGCCGCGCCGUCGUCGACAGCGCCUACGAGGUGAUCAGCUUGAAGGGCUACACCUCCUGGGCCAUCGGCUACUCCGUCGCCAGCCUCGCCGCGUCGCUGCUCCGCGACCAGCGCCGCAUCCACCCGGUCUCCGUGCUCGCCAGGGGGUUCCAUGGCAUCCCCGACGAGAACGACGUCUUCCUCAGCCUCCCCGCCAGGCUCGGCCGCGCCGGCGUCCAGGGCGUCGCUGAGAUGGAGCUCACCGAGGAGGAGGCCAAGCGACUGCGGCGCUCCGCCAAGACGCUCUGGGAGAAUUGCCAGCUCCUCGGCCUUUAAUUUGAUCGAUCUCUUUUCAUUUCAUUCACGCUCCAUCUCAUCUCGUCGUGUUUAACAGUUUGAUUUUGGAUCGUCGUAAUAUUACUAUUACCGUCCUGAAACAGUUGAUUACUGCAUCAAUCAUGCUAUUUACACUAGUAGCGCAUCCGGUGUUCAAUAAAAUUACUAUGUGUUUUCUAGUUGCAUUAGUUAUUAGUAGUAGUAGUACUGAUUUCUGCAUUUGGUUUAUUUGGUUCAUCAUCGUGAUCCAUUGACGAUGGCAUUAUUACGCACGAAGUAUGAUUAAUGUCGCUAAGCCCCAACAACACUAGGAUCUCACUCUCACACGUACUAGGUCUAUGUAUUGAGCUUGAAGGGAGAGGAACAAGAAAUUUGUAACAACUCAUUAACUCGGAAGCUUCCUCGGCCAAUUGUUGUCUGCCUCCGAUCCUUCACAUUCCCCAAGCUAAGUCUCCCUCUUUCUGGCACCUGGUGCUCGGAGUCGGAGAUGGAGGGGAUCGCGCGUUGAUGACAUCAAAUUCAAGGUCAAGAACAGACCUGCGCAAUUGAGCCCGACGGGUUUUCACCCAUGAGCCUUAAUUAGUGCACAAGGCUGAGCCAGAAAAAUUUUUCUCAGUCCUUCCUAGCCUGAAAUAUUUAAUUUAACUUUUUUACAUUGUAAACCAUGAGUACAGUCGCCAAGUCCUAGCCCGAUCUAAAGAAUUAGGCCAACUCGCCAAUAUAGGACAGUGGGAGGGAUUUUUUUUUUUCGGGCCCCAAACAACGGGGUUUUUCCGGCUUAAACGUAAAAUGCUCAGGUAAGUUAAGAAUAUCGCCAAACAUUAGGAUUGCACAGUGUUCGACGCUUAGUCCUCUACCGCCCUAGCAUCAUGUCCUCCUGCGUUAGCGACCACACACUCAUCUGUCAGACCACACCCGCUAAUAGGGGCAACGGGCUUAUAUAUUUACCAAGGGUGGAGAGAGACAAGAAAUUUAUAACAAUCUCAUUAACAUGGAAGCUUCCUUCACUCGAGAGUGGAUUUUCCACACGUAGCUUUGGCCGCCAGACCUAUCAUGGCCAUAGGAGGGGGCUUAAGACUGUGCUAGGCCAAUGAUGACCACAGAAGGAUGAAGGAAUGGUGGGGGUGGGGGAGGGGGGAGUCCCGCAAAUGGUGCCCUUGCCCCAACCCUGUCCGGACGCCUCCUCUGCUAACCACUCUAGCAACGUCACCGCCGCCUCCACCUUGUCGUUUCUCUCAUCCCCAACACCAGACCUACUCUUGCCUCUCAUGAUCCCUUUCUAAAAGCCCAUCAACGAUGAUGCAGAACAGAGGGAGAGGAAGAGAAGGCUGAGGGCAUGGUGGUGGCGGGCGAUGUGGCAGGAGCCAGGGGCGGUGGAGAUCGGGGCCGAUGACUAGGCGUUGUGGAGGCUAGCACGGUGCCAGAGCUAUGGCUGUCGGGGUGGGUGCGGCAUUGGCUUGGGAAACGAGGCCAUGAGCGAUGGCGGCGUCGUUGGGAGAGCAGAGAGAGAGAAGAGAUGCUUGAAAAUGUGUGCUACAAAGGUGAAGAAUGGCUGAUACGUGUGGUCCUGCUUUUCCCUUCCUUACCCAAUUUCUCUCUAUCUUCUUCCCCCAUCUCCAAGUCUUCCUCUUCCUUCCAAUCUAUAUCCAACACGAUGCUGGAGGCUCUCGGCUCAUGACAUUCUAGUACCAGAGUACAUGUUGCGGAUCAUGGAGUAGUUCUCUAAAAUCCCAUAGCAUACAACGUAUCAUUUGGUCGGCAAGAUUAUUCUUCUCGCAUCUCAUUAAUUAUUUCGUCAUUCAUCGUGGUUAGCCUAUUAUCAUCCUGGUGCGGGGGUGCAAUCAUCCAACCCUCACGGCCGGUAAUUUCUCUGCUAACUCGAACCGAUAAGAAAAUUGAUUCACCGAUAAAUAAUUUUUCUAUUCUUGUCACUUAUUUUUUAUUUAUUUGCAUUGUUGGUUUUGCUCCUUUAUAGGGGGAUUUCGUUUUCUAGUAGGAUUUACUUGGAAUUUGAAUAAUAUUACAUAGUCGAUGCCCAAACUGUAAUAUUUACUACUUGCAUAUAGGUGGGGACUGGAACGGCAAUUGAGUUUUUUUUCCUUCUUUUUCAUAAGAGAAGUUGGGGGCAAUGACUAGUAGGAUACGAAAGACAGAUCAUAUUCGUGGAAGCUUCCAAGGAGAGAAGCUGCAUGUAGGAAUUGAACGUGCGUCUAGAUGUGCAUGUAUAACAUAACAAAUCAACAUCAGCUAAAUUUCAACGAAGCGCGACAUGCAUGCAAUAUGUUGUGUGUAGUCCUGGUCCAAUCCUUAGGCAUGCAUAGUACGUACUGUCAAGGUGUAUAUAUAGCCGUAUGCGUGAAUCCACGCGUUUUAAGUACGUAUCAACGUAUGUAUAUAUGAUGCAUGACCGAGCAGCUAGCUAGUAUAGCCAUGUAAUGUCAUGGAAAUAAUGGGCCGACGAUAUAUAGGAUGACAAAAAGAGGGAGCGAGGAGUGGAACAGUAUAGCUCGCUAGCUACGACGACAAUCUAGAUGAUGUGGAAAUGUAGGGGUGGAAAAAAUGGCGAUCGAGACGGUGGUCUCUUUCAAGACAACAUGCAGGUCUCUCCCUUUUCAAAACCGGCGACUUGCAUGCAUUGCAAAAAAAGUAUCGGAGGAAUCGGAAGAAAGGUUGAUGAUGCUAUCAGAUCAUCUGUCAGUUGGGAAGAAUUGAAGGAGGACGAAGUCAAGAUGCAUGCAUGGUAGGGCGGCUAUUGCGUUUCACAAGCAGGUUUGUGCGCGUGCGCUUGUUUGACAAGUCCGUUCCCCGUCCCUUCCAAGAAAUUAAAUAUCGUCAUGCUAUAUAUGCAUGUCGAUCCAGUACGUUGUUGAUCCGAUCCAUGUACAUGCCGUGACGAGACCGUGCAGGCCGGCCAAUCAACUUUAUUAGGCUACUCCAUUGACCAAUGGAUUUGGAUUGAUCCCCAAGAAAAGCAAUUAUGUGUAACACUAGCUAGCUAGUAGUACGGAGAUCUGGACCCUAGUGCAAGUGAAGGAAGGAAUGAGAGAUCCACGACGACCCAUGACUUUGAAUUGAAAAGAAGACCAAAUUAAUUACUAAUAACCCAACAAUGCAAAACCAGCAGCAGCUAGCAGCUUCAUUUCCCAUUCCGGCGGGCUGCUGCCUCCAGUAUUUGCUUGGUUGCACCACCGGCGGCGUGCGAUCCUCGGCGGCUGGGCCCGCCGCGCCGGCUACUUUUUAACUUAAUUUCAACGCCUUGAAUUCUUCUCCAAGGUACUAGUAAAAAGGUUGAAUAAUCCGACCGGCCAAGAGCCGAGCCAAUUAACCCGGGAUGGGAUUGCCAUGCCGACUGCAUGCCUUGCUGUGCCUUCUCACCAGCGGCACUACCGCCGUACGUACACACUCACAUGAGGUCUGCUACUCAACCACUUGAUUUGAAAAAGGGUGACCUAACAUUUUAUUAUUUUAAUUAUAUAUGUCUGUCUAAAAGGAAAGGACAGCGGCGACCAUGACCAGACCACAUAUAUAGUGGAGGAUCCCCACUGAAUUUGAAUGUAGUACUAUAGUAGCAUUAAUUAGCAUGGUGUAUAGUAUGUGCACUAGUAGAACAUGCAAGUUGUUUGUGAAUAUACGCCGUCUCCCCUAUCUGCAUCUGCUGAUAACCUACCGUACCUACGUACGUAAUUAAGCACAUGCGUAUGUCCAUGCAUCAUGGAUCUACUACUACUCCCUCAACUUCGUCCCAAAAACAUGCCAUCCUAGAACUGAAGUUAGUCAAAUUAAUUCUAAUUCUAAUUAGAUUUAUAGAAAAUAGCAUCAACAUUUGUAUCUUUAAAUAGGUUUAUAAUAAAAUUACAUUUCAUUCUUUAUUUAAUGGUACUUAUUAUUACAUAUACAAAAUAUUAUUACAUUUUAUACAUUUAGCAAAAGUUAAGAUUGAUCGUCUCCUCAGAAAAUGAGAAUAAUACUCCCUACAUCCAUAAAAGAAUACAACUAUCUGAUUUGUAUCGGUUAAACUAGCUUAAUUUUAACCAAAUUUAUAGUGAAUAGAGUUAUUAUUUAUGUCUCUAAAUAAGUUUACUUAGAUGAUAUAUUCCUGAUUAAUUUAAUGAAACUUAUUUAGUAUCAUAAAGUUUGACUCCACAAAAAAUUGAAAAUAACACCUUUUUUGUGGAUGGAGUACAUAUACGUCCUAUCUUGCUAGUAAAUAAAUAUGUGACAUACGAUACGUCCUCGAAAAGAGUUUAGCUUAGCUUGCAAUAACCAAAAAUCAAUGCAUGGAAUCCAACGAAAAAUCCCGGUAUUGAUAUGAUGCAUGUGACAAUGCACUAAAUCACAUGCAUAUGCUCCUCCAAGGCAUUACUACUAUAUUUCAUCUACCUACAGUGUCACACUCUGAGAUGUACUACAAUGCAACUGUGCAAUUGAAAACCGCUUAACAACGCCUCUGUUUUCAGGAAGUUUCAUUUGGUACAGCAGUAGUUUACGCUGUCAACAACGCAUAGAGACGCCACUGGUUUGCAUAUGGCCACCUAUAUGUAUAUAUAAUAUAACAAAGUCAAGCAAGCAUCAUUUCCUUUUCAAAAAGUGUUUUUUUUUCUUUUCUUUCAGAAAGAUCGAUCGAAAACGGCUCAGAGUUUAGCUGAAACCGGUUGAUUUCAGUUUUUCAGGGGGCUUGUCUACCUCCCUCCUCCCUAAUAAUACUAUAACCUACCAGGUAGCUAGUAGCUUAUAAAUAGCAGCCCUCCCUUAUCAUCUCACCAUAUACAGCAUCGAUCACCAAAGGCUCCCUCAAACACUUCCCGCUGCUCCCUCCAACUGCAACUAGACCAGAUCGUCAACACGCAAAUUUAGCAAGAUGAAGAAGGCCACGUCACUCUCCGAGCUGGGCUUCGACGCCAACGGCGCCUCCGCGGGCUUCUUCCGCUCGGUGUCCGACGACGCCAUGGACGACUCCACGCCGACGUCGCACCACCGCCGGAGGCUGACCAAGGUGUCCGUCAUCGGCGCGGGCAACGUGGGCAUGGCCAUCGCGCAGACCAUCCUCACCCGUGACCUCGCCGACGAGAUCGCGCUGGUGGACGCGCUCCCGGACAAGCUCCGCGGGGAGAUGCUGGACCUGCAGCACGCGGCGGCGUUCCUCCCCCGCACGCGCCUCGUCUCCGACACCGACAUGUCCGUCACCAGGGGCUCCGACCUCGCCAUCGUCACCGCCGGCGCGCGGCAGAUCCCGGGGGAGACGAGGCUCAACCUCCUCCACCGCAACGUGGCGCUGUUCAGGAAGAUCGUGCCGGCGCUGGCGGAGCACUCACCGGACGCCAUCCUGCUAAUCGUCUCCAACCCCGUGGACGUGCUGACCUACGUGGCCUGGAAGCUGUCGGGUUUCCCCGUGAGCCGCGUGAUCGGGUCGGGAACGAACCUGGACUCGUCGAGGUUCCGGUUCCUCCUCGCCGAGCACCUGGACGUGAACGCGCAGGACGUGAACGCGUACAUGGUGGGCGAGCACGGCGACAGCUCGGUGGCGGUGUGGUCGACGGUGAGCGUGGCGGG
This 15223-nucleotide long non-coding RNA is filed under the name Sorghum bicolor (sorghum). RNAcentral's name for it is "long non-coding RNA (SBIC_LNC005887)". The record is from RNAcentral. Lineage: Eukaryota; Viridiplantae; Streptophyta; Magnoliopsida; Poales; Poaceae.